AUGCACACAAACAAGAGGAAAAGGAAACCUACAGGAGAAACAUUCCCUGGUCUAAAUUGUUUAGUUCUUCACCGUUUCCAAAUUUCAGCUACAUGGACGCCGGUGCUCUAUCCCGGUGAUUUAGGCGAUCCCUAUUUGAGUCCUCGCGCCAAAAUAUUCUGCUCCAUGUCGCAGCUCCAUUCAGAGAAGAAAGAACGCGAUCCAUUGACCACACGCGGAGAAUUUUGCAAGUCCGUAUACACUGUUCGUCAAGUUCAUCGCACCAUCCCAUCAAAAUUGGGAGUGGCGAUGUUGGACAUGGAGAUAACAGGUUACGAAGAAGGACUCAACAAUGAAGAGUUCCAUGAAGACGAAGGUGAUGACUACGACUACUAUGGCGAUCUAUAG
This 387-nucleotide ribosomal RNA is filed under the name Triticum aestivum (bread wheat). Its description in RNAcentral is "partial small subunit ribosomal RNA". Lineage: Eukaryota; Viridiplantae; Streptophyta; Magnoliopsida; Poales; Poaceae. The record is from RNAcentral.